This 702-nucleotide long non-coding RNA is filed under the name Linum usitatissimum (flax). RNAcentral's name for it is "long non-coding RNA (LUSI_LNC005463)". The record is from RNAcentral. Lineage: Eukaryota; Viridiplantae; Streptophyta; Magnoliopsida; Malpighiales; Linaceae.
GAAAGAGGAGGAUCGGCAUCAGGAGACACCACCACCGUGCACCUAUAAAAACCACCACACCACAGAAUGAUAGCAGCAACAAACAAGCUAGGUGUUGAUUAUUGAAGCUAUGAAGAAAGAAAAGGAAGCUUCAUCUUUUGGUCUGACUCUGUGAAGCAUACCAAAUCAAGCUCUAUAGCUUCACUUUUCGAUACCAAAUAUCAUGAUCUGUUCCAUUUCUUCAGCAACCAAUCAAAUAGACCAAGAAAAUUAACCAUGUUUUGCUUCUCCUCACUAUGCCUUACAGUACCCGACCUAGCACCAACAAAAACCAGUCUUGGUCACAUAGAUCCUUCUGCAAAACUUAUCCAUAACAGGCAACCAAAUUACCGGACUGAAGAUACGUCAAGAGACUGCUCAUCGUCGGGUUUGCUCUGCCGCUCACGAUUGCGGCCGCCACCACCGCCGCCGUAACGGGAGGCAACGAUAAUGGAGGAGCCAAUGAACGUCCUGGAGCUGGGAUAGUACACUAGGGACUCUUGCGUUGAAAUGUAGAACCUGAUGCCGAGUAGCUUGGAAUCCAGAGAAGAAAAGAGACUGGUAGAAUUUCCGGUCGUCCGUACAAGCGUGAACAGAAAGGUCCAGCUCUGGCGGUGGAGCUAGGACAGUGAAAUUGACGGAUGAGCUAGCGAUUUUGCUUACCGAGACGGUGCUGAAAAAAAG